CGCGCACCAGGGUGGAGGUUUGGUGCCGGGGGUUGAGAACAACAGUCAAACCCUCUUCUUCCCUGUACCGCGCACCUGCCCCCUGGGAUGCCGAACGAAGUGGCCCCUAAGGCUUCUCUGCAGGUCCAACCGAAACAGGCCUGAAGUUCCAGGAUGGGCGAGAGGAUCCUCUUUGAGCGAAACCAGCCUUCUGCCUGGCUGGCCCUGGUCAACACACUCGGAAGAGGCCGAUUUGGAGGACAGAACGGAAGAAAAGACCUAAAGUAGAUGAUCCUCAUCCAAUCACUUAAAGGCCUGAAUAGAACCAAAAGUCUGACCUGCCCAUGAGUAAGAGAGAGCUCCUUCUGCCUGAUUGCUUCAGCUGAGAUAUCAGCCUUUUCCUGCCUUUGGAAUUGAACUGCAACACUGGCUCUUCCUGGGCCUCAAGCCUGCCAGCUUUUGAACUGUAAUCACACCAUCAUCUCUCCUGGUUCUCAGGCCUUUGGACUCAAAUCAGAAACACACCAUGGGCUCUCCUGUGUCUCAAGCUUGCCAACUGUGAUCUUGAGACUUCUCAGCCUCCAUAAUCACAUGAGUCAAUUGUUGGUUCUGUUUCUCUGGAGAACCCUAAUCCAUCACUUUACAUAUUUCUUCCAUUACACAUAUUGUUUCCCAGCAUAUUAA
Molecule: long non-coding RNA, 663 nt
Filed under: Homo sapiens (human)
Lineage: Eukaryota; Metazoa; Chordata; Mammalia; Primates; Hominidae
Description: non-protein coding LINC01138:45
Source: RNAcentral